This 324-nucleotide long non-coding RNA is filed under the name Numida meleagris (helmeted guineafowl). Its description in RNAcentral is "lncRNA (ENSNMEG00000021220.1)". Lineage: Eukaryota; Metazoa; Chordata; Aves; Galliformes; Numididae. The record is from RNAcentral.
AUUUUAAGUUUUAGAUUACAAGUUCCUCUCAAAAUUUUCAUAUUCAAAUUUGUUAAACAUCUUUUUUUUAAUUUCUGUUUUUCAGAGAAUAGUGGAAAUACGAUCCUCAGCUGUACGAUUUUGCAGCCAUGCUAUGCACCUGGAAAAACUGCCCUUCACACUAGAGUAUCUGUAACGUGCACCUUGAAAGAUACCGCAAGAGUAAAAGGGAUGGGAUCCUUCCUCUUCCUUCACUGUCCUCUUAAUCACAAGGGAUCAGUGUGUCCCAUGGGAUCAAAGGAAGGUGAAACUUUUGUGAUCACGAGGUGAGAACAGGUUUGUGCU